UUAACUAUUAUAUAGUACUCAGACAUCACUAAACAAACGAGUUUGGGUCCUCUGGCAGGCGCAGUCAGCGUGAGCCGACGCCCCGAGGGGCGGCCUGCCAAAGCAACAAAGGUAUGUAUACACGGUUUAGAAUUACCCAUUUCAAAAAACGGGGCGUUCUUUAAUGAUCCUUCCGCAGGUUCACCUACGGAAA
This 193-nucleotide unclassified non-coding RNA is filed under the name uncultured fungus. RNAcentral describes it as "sequence contains ITS1". Lineage: Eukaryota; Fungi. The record is from RNAcentral.